Vicia faba (fava bean) is the source of this 213-nucleotide non-coding RNA. The record is from the annotation of a GenBank genome assembly. Lineage: Eukaryota; Viridiplantae; Streptophyta; Magnoliopsida; Fabales; Fabaceae.
AUGGAGACAACAAGAAAAAUUUCUUUAACCGUGGCAUUAUUUUUGGCUUUUUUUAUAUUUGCAUCAGAUAUGGCAAUAGAAUCACAAGCAAGAGGAGUGAGUGAAAACACACUUAAUAGUUGUGUCAAGAAUGCCGAUUGUGUGGGUAAAUGGCAUUGCGAUCCAGGCCUAGUUCCCGUAUGUGUUCAAGGCACGUGUCUAUGUUGGCAUUAA